Long non-coding RNA from Cyprinus carpio (common carp), 777 nucleotides. The record is from Ensembl. Lineage: Eukaryota; Metazoa; Chordata; Actinopteri; Cypriniformes; Cyprinidae.
GUCUGGCACCAUGCACUAUAAAAACACUAAAAAUGUGUUUGAUGGGUUUUGUCCUUGAAUAAUGUUGUCAGGUCCAUAUUGUUCUGUAUGGAGAUAAUGUUGUCUCUCAAACCAGGGAACUCAGCAGCUCUGACUCCAAACUCUUUACAUGCAACUCAAGGAAUACCUUUAUUCUCAGAGCACAUCCGCUAGUGUGUCUGGAGAGCAGUAUAAGGUCAAGGUGCCUGAUGUCUACUCUGUAGGAGAACACCACGAUGCAGUUCUGAUGAACACUUGUGCAUCGUACCUGUCCUGCAAUAGUUUCCCACUGGACUCAAGGAUCAUGGGAAAAAAAAAUACAAUGUAUAAUGUACAGAUCAGUUAAAUUGCUUACUUUAUAUGCUCAGUUAAAUAUGCUUGACAAUGAAAUUAUUUUAGUCUACAGUACUAAAGACAGUGCAAAUGGUAUGUCCCGCAGUAUGGAGAUCAGGAUUGGAAAACCUCAGAUUCAGUGUCUAUGUCAAAACUGAAAGAGGAUCCUGAUGCCAUCUUAGAGAUUGUAGAAGACUCCAUCUCUGAUGUCAACAAGCAGAUCACAUGACAAAAGCAAAUGGAAUAAGAUCUCAAAUCACACACCUCUGCACGUUUGUAAACCCAUUAGUUAAAUAUUAUAUUACAAUUAUAUAGUAAAAAUUCUAUGUGGUUAUGUAUGUAUAUUUUUAAAGUGAUUAUAAUUAUUAAAAAUAUAUUUUUAUUUUAAUAUAGUUAUAGCAAUAUAUUUUUUAAAUUACAUUUUUG